UCGCACGGGUGGUUUCGGCCAUCAGUGGCGGACGGGUGAGUAACGCGUAGGAACGUGUCCAGAGGUGGGGGACAACCCCGGGAAACUGGGGCUAAUACCGCAUGGGGGCUGAGGCCCAAAGCCGAGAGGCGCCAUUGGAGCGGCCUGCGUCCGAUUAGGUAGUUGGUGGGGUAAAGGCCUACCAAGCCUGCGAUCGGUAGCUGGUCUGAGAGGACGACCAGCCACACUGGGACUGAGACACGGCCCAGACUCCUACGGGAGGCAGCAGUGGGGAAUAUUGGACAAUGGGCGAAAGCCUGAUCCAGCAAUGCCGCGUGGGUGAAGAAGGUCUUCGGAUCGUAAAGCCCUUUCGACGGGGACGAUGAUGACGGUACCCGUAGAAGAAGCUCCGGCUAACUUCGUGCCAGCAGCCGCGGUAAUACGAAGGGGGCUAGCGUUGCUCGGAAUUACUGGGCGUAAAGGGCGCGUAGGCGGCGGCCCAAGUCAGGCGUGAAAUUCCUGGGCUCAAUCUGGGGACUGCGCUUGAUACUGGGUUGCUUGAGGAUGGAAGAGGCUCGUGGAAUUCCCAGUGUAGAGGUGAAAUUCGUAGAUAUUGGGAAGAACACCGGUGGCGAAGGCGGCGAGCUGGUCCAUUACUGACGCUGAGGCGCGACAGCGUGGGGAGCAAACAGGAUUA
This 676-nucleotide ribosomal RNA is filed under the name uncultured bacterium. RNAcentral's name for it is "bacterial SSU rRNA". It matches the Rfam family "Bacterial small subunit ribosomal RNA", at positions 62 to 780 of the family's 1533-position model. The record is from RNAcentral.